GCCGAGAUAGUCUAGCGGUAGGGCGCAAGCCUGGAAAGCUUGUGGGGAAUCAUCCCCUCGGGAGUUCAAAUCUCCCUCUCGGCG
RNAcentral lists this transfer RNA (84 nucleotides) under Methanosarcinaceae archaeon. RNAcentral's name for it is "tRNA-Ser". It matches the Rfam family "tRNA". From Rfam's summary of the family: Transfer RNA (tRNA) molecules are approximately 80 nucleotides in length. Their secondary structure includes four short double-helical elements and three loops (D, anti-codon, and T loops). Further hydrogen bonds mediate the characteristic L-shaped molecular structure. tRNAs have two regions of fundamental functional importance: the anti-codon, which is responsible for specific mRNA codon recognition, and the 3' end, to which the tRNAs corresponding amino acid is attached (by aminoacyl-tRNA synthetases). tRNAs cope with the degeneracy of the genetic code in two manners: having more than one tRNA (with a specific anti-codon) for a particular amino acid; and 'wobble' base-pairing, i.e. permitting non-standard base-pairing at the 3rd anti-codon position. The record is from RNAcentral. Lineage: Archaea; Methanobacteriati; Methanobacteriota; Methanomicrobia; Methanosarcinales; Methanosarcinaceae.